Molecule: ribosomal RNA, 532 nt
Filed under: uncultured Gammaproteobacteria bacterium
Lineage: Bacteria; Pseudomonadati; Pseudomonadota; Gammaproteobacteria
Description: bacterial SSU rRNA
Rfam family: Bacterial small subunit ribosomal RNA
Source: RNAcentral
AGAGUUUGAUCCUGGCUCAGAUUGAACGCUGGCGGCAGGCCUAACACAUGCAAGUCGAGCGGUAACGGGACUAGCUUGCUAGUUGCUGACGAGCGGCGGACGGGUGCGUAACACGUAGGAAUCUACCCAGUAGCGGGGGAUAGCCCGGAGAAAUCCGGAUUAAUACCGCAUACGCCUUACGAGGGAAAGCAGGGGCUUCUUCGGAACCUUGCACUAUUGGAUGAGCCUGCGUCGGAUUAGCUAGUUGGUGGGGUAAAGGCCUACCAAGGCAACGAUCCGUAGCUGGUCUGAGAGGAUGAUCAGCCACACUGGGACUGAGACACGGCCCAGACUCCUACGGGAGGCAGCAGUGGGGAAUAUUGCACAAUGGGCGCAAGCCUGAUGCAGCCAUGCCGCGUGUGUGAAGAAGGCUCUAGGGUUGUAAAGCACUUUCAGCGAGGAGGAAAGGUUGUAGAUUAAUACUCUGCAGCUGUGACGUUACUCGCAGAAGAAGCACCGGCUAACUCCGUGCCAGCAGCCGCGGUAAUACGGA